Molecule: unclassified non-coding RNA, 300 nt
Filed under: Hevea brasiliensis (rubber tree)
Lineage: Eukaryota; Viridiplantae; Streptophyta; Magnoliopsida; Malpighiales; Euphorbiaceae
Source: RNAcentral
UUGAGAACAACAUUGACUGAGUCUGCACUAGGUGGCUUUGGCAAAGGAGGUGAUUCCUGUUUCUCAUGUCUCUUGGGUUUAUCAAUAUCUUGUAAAUUUAAAAUUGCAAGUUUCUCACCCAUGGUUGGCUCAUUCAUAUCAUCUUCCAAGAGGACUCCAUCCAUAGCCUCACCAUUAUCAGUAUCAACAUCUCCUCCCCUAUCAGAUGCAGCCCGUUUCUUCUUUGUUUUUUUAUUUAGGGAUGAGGCAGAUUCUGAUUCUAAAUCAUGAACCUCUUUCCUAGGCAAAAUCCCAUUUUCU